CUCAGUUUUGACGAAAAGUACUGUAUAUGAAUAUUUCACAUGCUUUGGGGUGUUCGACGCAUGCAUUUCUUCGUGUACCUUCAUGUUUGCUGACUUCAGAUCAUGAAUCGUGAGACCGCGGUGAUUUUGCCAGAUACCUGCCUGUGUGCCGGAGUCCCUGUUCCCAGUCCUGGCUGCCCCAAGUGAUUUCAGACUCGCCAGCCUCUCAGCUGCACAUGCCAACCCUUUG
Fukomys damarensis (Damara mole-rat) is the source of this 229-nucleotide long non-coding RNA. RefSeq lists it as uncharacterized. The record is from RefSeq and is a predicted model, not a curated record. The transcript is spliced from 3 exons. Lineage: Eukaryota; Metazoa; Chordata; Mammalia; Rodentia; Bathyergidae.